GGCGGCAGGCCUAACACACWCAAGUCGGACGGUAGCACAGAGAGCUUGUUCUUGGGUGACGAGUGGCGGACGGGUGAGUAAUGUCUGGGGAUCUGCCCGAUAGAGGGGGAUAACCACUGGAAACGGUGGCUAAUACCGCAUAACGUCGCAAGACCAAAGAGGGGGACCUUCGGGCCUCUCACUAUCGGAUGAACCCAGAUGGGAUUAGCUAGUAGGCGGGGUAAUGGCCCACCUAGGCGACGAUCCCUAGCUGGUCUGAGAGGAUGACCAGCCACACUGGAACUGAGACACGGUCC
RNAcentral lists this ribosomal RNA (296 nucleotides) under uncultured Pantoea sp. RNAcentral describes it as "partial 16S ribosomal RNA". It matches the Rfam family "Bacterial small subunit ribosomal RNA", at positions 38 to 332 of the family's 1533-position model. Lineage: Bacteria; Pseudomonadati; Pseudomonadota; Gammaproteobacteria; Enterobacterales; Erwiniaceae. The record is from RNAcentral.